Molecule: long non-coding RNA, 304 nt
Filed under: Olea europaea (common olive)
Lineage: Eukaryota; Viridiplantae; Streptophyta; Magnoliopsida; Lamiales; Oleaceae
Description: long non-coding RNA (OEUR_LNC011709)
Source: RNAcentral
AAAACUGUGAUCUUGCUCUCUCUAGAUAUUCCCAAAUCCGACCCUCUAUUACUUACUGGAUUACAUCCUAAGCACAUCCCACACCCUCUUUUUUACAUAUCGACUGACUUGACCAUCGGAAUGUUUGUGGUUGCCUUCCCCCACUUCGGAGAAGCCCUAUGCAACUUAUGGUUUGUCCAAAUGUGUAGGACAUGAAGCUUAUUUGGACGUGAUUUGCCAGGUAAACCUUAUAAAAAAAAGAGGUCAACAGGAAGUUUAUUACAACUAAAAUUAAACAUUAGUAUAUACUGUGUGAGCAACAGUU